AGCGCCACGAGUGGCAACCGCGUUUAUUGGGCCUAAAGCGUCCGUAGCCGGCCUUGUAAAUCUUUUGUGAAAUUGUUUGGCUUAACUAAACAACGUGCAAGAGACACUGCAAGGCUCGAGACCGGGAGGAGUCAGAAGUAUUCCAGGGGGAGCGGUAAAAUGUUAUAAUCCCUGGAGGACUACCUGUGGCGAAGGCGUCUGACCAGAACGGAUCUGACGGUGAGGGACGAAAGCCAGGGGAGCAAAACC
This 249-nucleotide ribosomal RNA is filed under the name uncultured euryarchaeote. RNAcentral's name for it is "partial 16S ribosomal RNA". It matches the Rfam family "Archaeal small subunit ribosomal RNA", at positions 478 to 726 of the family's 1478-position model. The record is from RNAcentral. Lineage: Archaea; Methanobacteriati; Methanobacteriota.